Molecule: ribosomal RNA, 237 nt
Filed under: uncultured bacterium
Lineage: Bacteria
Description: partial 16S ribosomal RNA
Rfam family: Bacterial small subunit ribosomal RNA
Source: RNAcentral
GAUCAUGGCUCAGGACGAACGCUGGCGGCGUGCUUAACACAUGCAAGUCGAACGAAGAGCGAUGGAAGCUUGCUUCUAUCAAUCUUAGUGGCGAACGGGUGAGUAACGCGUAAUCAACCUGCCCUUCAGAGGGGGACAACAGUUGGAAACGACUGCUAAUACCGCAUACGAUUCAAUUCCGGCAUCGGGACUGAUGAAAGGUGGCCUCUAUUUAUAAGCUAUCACUGAAGGAGGGGA